GACGAACGCUGGCGGCGUGCUUAACACAUGCAAGUCGAACGGUGAAGCGCCUUCCUUUUUGGUGGGUGUGGAUGAGUGGCGAACGGGUGAGUAACACGUGAGUAACCUGCCCCCUUCUUCUGGAUAACCGCAUGAAAGUGUGGCUAAUACGGGAUAUUCUGGGUCUGUCGCAUGAUGGGUCUGGGAAAGAUAUUGUUUCGGUGGGGGAUGGGCUCGCGGCCUAUUAGCUUGUUGGUGGGGCGAUGGCCUACCAAGGCGGUGACGGGUAGCCGGCCUGAGAGGGUGGACGGUCACACUGGGACUGAGACACGGCCCAGACUCCUACGGGAGGCAGCAGUGGGGAAUAUUGCACAAUGGGCGCAAGCCUGAUGCAGCGACGCCGCGUGAGGGAUGGAGGCCUUCGGGUUGUGAACCUCUUUCGCCAGUGAAGCAGGCCUGCCUCGUUUGUGGGUGGGUUGACGGUAGCUGGAUAAGAAGCGCCGGCUAACUACGUG
Molecule: ribosomal RNA, 494 nt
Filed under: uncultured bacterium
Lineage: Bacteria
Description: partial 16S ribosomal RNA
Rfam family: Bacterial small subunit ribosomal RNA
Source: RNAcentral